Molecule: ribosomal RNA, 492 nt
Filed under: uncultured bacterium
Lineage: Bacteria
Description: partial 16S ribosomal RNA
Rfam family: Bacterial small subunit ribosomal RNA
Source: RNAcentral
AGUGAACGCUGGCGGUAGGCCUAACACAUGCAAGUCGAACGGCAGCACAGUAAGAGCUUGCUCUUACGGGUGGCGAGUGGCGGACGGGUGAGGAAUACAUCGGAAUCUACUUUUUCGUGGGGGAUAACGUAGGGAAACUUACGCUAAUACCGCAUACGACCUACGGGUGAAAGCAGGGGAUCUUCGGACCUUGCGCGAUUGAAUGAGCCGAUGUCGGAUUAGCUAGUUGGCGGGGUAAAGGCCCACCAAGGCGACGAUCCGUAGCUGGUCUGAGAGGAUGAUCAGCCACACUGGAACUGAGACACGGUCCAGACUCCUACGGGAGGCAGCAGUGGGGAAUAUUGGACAAUGGGCGCAAGCCUGAUCCAGCAAUACCGCGUGGGUGAAGAAGGCCUUCGGGUUGUAAAGCCCUUUUGUUGGGAAAGAAAAGUAGCAGGUUAAUACCCCGCUGUUCUGACGGUACCCAAAGAAUAAGCACCGGCUAACUUCGUG